CGCCUUCUUGAAAUCAAUCACGAUAUAUGAAUGUUGUAGAUUAACUUAUUUAAUAGUACUCUCAAAUAUGUUAUCAGAACCAACUCGAUCAAAUUUGUUAUCCAAACUACUCAUUUCUCUCCCCAAAGCCCCGUCCCCCUCUUCUUCGAAAUCGCAACCGUCUUCUGUCCGGCACCCACACAAGAACUCAUCACUGACGCAGAGCCCGCCGGAAGCUUUCUCUAGAGAACGAUAUGUCGGUCGCCGUCCCCAUGGCCUCGCCCAGUCGCCGGCUCGACUUGGAUGACCAGCCAUUCCUCAAUUCCAGGAUUUGUGCAAGAGAAAGGGAUAUGUUGAUAACUAGGAGGCAAGCAUGCCUUCUCCAAGCAUGACCAAGCAGAGAACGAGCAGUGUGAAAAUUUUUGGGGUCGAAUUGUGCCCUGACAAUGUGGCUGUUGCCAUGGUAUUUUGUUCAAGGUGUCCUAGGCCUUGCAGGGCUUGCUGUCGGUUUUUAUCUUUCCAUUUAAAAGACGAUUUGCAUCUCGACCUGGCUGAGGUACAUUUACAUUCACACUUUCUGUUGGCCUUUUGUAGGCGAACUGCUAUUAUAGUGACUAAUAGAAGUAGGAAGAAGGAACAAGGGGUUGAAAUUUGGCUAAUUCUGCCAAUAUAGAUGUUUUGCAAGUGGCUGGGUUUUGCUAGUUUAAAGUGAAUCGUACAGAUCAAUUAAAUUCUGGGCGGCGAAUCUUCACCAUUGAUGAAAUUGUGUUUCUAUGUUUAACUUCUACAGGUGCGUCCUCUGUAUAUUUCUAUAAUUUCAAUUUCUCAAAUCGCUAUUGUUUAUUAGAUUUUACUUUUGAUAUGGUUACUAUUGUUUAUGGUUUAUAAAAAAAAAAUCUUUGUUUAUGCUAUUGGUUUGGUUAAUCUUGUAUAGUAUGUAUUUGCAGAAUUAUACGCAAUGGCUCUAUUUAGUAGGUUCAUAAUCUAAUCAUGUGUUUAUCUUUUCUCAAAGGACUCCUCUUAUUAUAAUUUUGUCAAGAGUUCAAUUGCAAAGGAAUGCAUGAGUAGAAAGGUUUAGAGGCAGAAACUCUAUUUACUUUUCUUGAUUGAGAUCAAAUGUAUAUUUCCACCUAUACGAGUACAAUAUUUUUUUUUCUUGUGAUCCAUAUGCUUAUGUCCAUGCAAAUAGAGAGAGGCAGCAAUUGCUGAGGCUCAAGUAUUAGGGGCAGUAGUUCACUCUCAAGGUCCUUUGUUUGGAGAUGUUCAAAGAAAUUUGAAGUCUUCAAGUGUUCUUGUUAUUGGAGACCUAUUUGAUACUUUGUGGAUAGUUUGAUAUUUCUAGUACAACUCGUCGUUAGCUUUAGUGUGCAGUUUGUAAUAUUUGAUUUUGUGAUUUCUUUAUGUAAUUAUUGUAUUGUAGUAAAUUUGUUUAUAUAUUAAAUGAUUUAUUAUUUUUAUUAUUUGAUACUUUGUGGAUAGUUUGAUAUUUCUAAUAUAACUCAUCGUUAGCUUUA
Pyrus x bretschneideri (Chinese white pear) is the source of this 1493-nucleotide long non-coding RNA. RefSeq lists it as uncharacterized. Lineage: Eukaryota; Viridiplantae; Streptophyta; Magnoliopsida; Rosales; Rosaceae. The transcript is spliced from 3 exons. The record is from RefSeq and is a predicted model, not a curated record.